AUUGAACGCUGGCAGCAGGCUUAACACAUGCAAGUCGAGCGGGGGAGGUUACUUCGGUAACUGACCUAGCGGCGGACGGGUGAGUAAUGCUUAGGAAUCUGCCUAUUAGUGGGGGACAACAUUCCGAAAGGAAUGCUAAUACCGCAUACGUCCUACGGGGGAAAGCAGGGGAUCUUCGGACCUUGCGCUAAUAGAUGAGCCUAAGUCGGAUUAGCUAGUUGGUGGGGUAAAGGCCUACCAAGGCGACGAUCUGGAGCGGGUCUGAGAGGAUGAUCCGCCACACUGGGACUGAGACACGGCCCAGACUCCUACGGGAGGCAGCAGUGGGGAAUAUUGGACAAUGGGGAACCCUGAUCCAGCCAUGCCGCGUGUGUGAAGAAGGCCUUUCGGUUGUAAAGCACUUUAAGCGAGGAGGAGGCCCCUUUAGUUAAUACCUAAAGAGAGUGGACGUUACUCGCAGAAUAAGCACCGGCUAACUCUGUGCCAGCCGCCGCAGUAA
Molecule: ribosomal RNA, 499 nt
Filed under: uncultured bacterium
Lineage: Bacteria
Description: partial 16S ribosomal RNA
Rfam family: Bacterial small subunit ribosomal RNA
Source: RNAcentral